Molecule: ribosomal RNA, 520 nt
Filed under: uncultured bacterium
Lineage: Bacteria
Description: bacterial SSU rRNA
Rfam family: Bacterial small subunit ribosomal RNA
Source: RNAcentral
AGAGUUUGAUCCUGGCUCAGAAUGAACGCUGGCGGCGUGCUUAACACAUGCAAGUCGCACGAGAACUCUUUAGCUUGCUAAAGAUAGUAAAGUGGCGCACGGGUGAGUAUCGCGUGGGUAAUCUCCCUCCGAAUCUGGGAUAACAUUGCGAAAGCGAUGCUAAUACCGGAUAAUAUCUUUUAAACUUCGGUUUUCAAGAUCAAAGGUGACCUCUAUAUAUAAGUUACUGUUUGGAGAUGAGCCCGCGUACCAUUAGCUUGUUGGUAGGGUAAUGGCCUACCAAGGCCGCGAUGGUUAGCUGGUCUGAGAGGAUGAUCAGCCACACUGGAACUGACACACGGUCCAGACUCCUACGGGAGGCAGCAGUGAGGAAUUUUGCGCAAUGGGGGAAACCCUGACGCAGCAACGCCGCGUGAGUGAUGAAGGCUUUCGGGUCGUAAAACUCUGUCAAGUGGGAAGAACAUGUUUGAUGUUAAUACCAUCUUACACUGACGGUACCACUGAAGAAGCACCGCUAACU